CCUACGGGAGGCAGCAGUGAGGAAUAUUGGUCAAUGGACGAGAGUCUGAACCAGCCAAGUAGCGUGAAGGAUGACUGCCCUAUGGGUUGUAAACUUCUUUUAUAAAGGAAUAAAACGAGGCACGUGUGCCUUUUUGCAUGUACUUUAUGAAUAAGGAUCGGCUAACUCCGUGCCAGCAGCCGCGGUAAUACGGAGGAUACGAGCGUUAUCCGGAUUUAUUGGGUUUAAAGGGAGCGUAGAUGGGGUGUUAAGUCAGGUGUGAAAGUUUGCGGCUCAACCGUAAAAUUGCAAUUGAUACUGGCAGUCUUGAGUACAGUUGAGGUAGGCGGAAUUCGUGGUGUAGCAGUGAAAUGCUUAGAUAUCACGAAGAACCCCGAUUGCGAAGGCAGCUUACUAAACUGUGACUGACAUUGAUGCUAGAAAGUGUGGGUAUCAAACAGGAUUAGAUACCCCAGUAGUC
RNAcentral lists this ribosomal RNA (460 nucleotides) under uncultured bacterium. RNAcentral describes it as "partial 16S ribosomal RNA". It matches the Rfam family "Bacterial small subunit ribosomal RNA", at positions 338 to 795 of the family's 1533-position model. The record is from RNAcentral.